This 465-nucleotide ribosomal RNA is filed under the name uncultured bacterium. Its description in RNAcentral is "partial 16S ribosomal RNA". It matches the Rfam family "Bacterial small subunit ribosomal RNA", at positions 338 to 795 of the family's 1533-position model. The record is from RNAcentral.
CCUACGGGUGGCAGCAGUGGGGAAUAUUGCGCAAUGGGCGAAAGCCUGACGCAGCGACGCCGCGUGAGGGAUGACGGUCUUCGGAUCGUAAACCUCUGUCAGCAGGGAAGAACGGUCACUGUGCUAAUCAGCAGUGAAUUGACGGUACCUGCAAAGGAAGCACCGGCUAACUCCGUGCCAGCAGCCGCGGUAAUACGGAGGGUGCGAGCGUUAAUCGGAAUUACUGGGCGUAAAGCGCUCGUAGGCGGUAUGUCAAGUCAAGGGUGAAAUCCCCGCGCUCAACGUGGGAACUGCCUUUGAAACUGGCAAACUGGAGUGUGUGAGAGGAUAGUGGAAUUCCAGGUGUAGGGGUGAAAUGCGUAGAUAUCAGGAGGAACAUCAGUGGCGAAGGCGACUAUCUGGCACAUAACUGACGCUGAGGAGCGAAAGCGUGGGUAGCAAACAGGAUUAGAUACCCCUGUAGUC